GUGUUUGGCACCUCGAUGUCGGCUCAUCACAUCCUGGGGCUGAAGUAGGUCCCAAGGGUAUGGCUGUUCGCCAUUUAAAGUGGUACGCGAGCUGGGUUUAGAACGUCGUGAGACAGUUCGGUCCCUAUCUGCCGUGGGCGCUGGAGAACUGAGGGGGGCUGCUCCUAGUACGAGAGGACCGGAGUGGACGCAUCACUGGUGUUCGGGUUGUCAUGCCAAUGGCACUGCCCGGUAGCUAAAUGCGGAAGAGAUAAGUGCUGAAAGCAUCUAAGCACGAAACUUGCCCCGAGAUGAGUUCUCCCUGACUCCUUGAGAGUCCUGAAGGAACGUUGAAGACGACGACGUUGAUAGGCCGGGUGUGUAAGCGCAGCGAUGCGUUGAGCUAACCGGUACUAAUGAACCGUGAGGCUUAACCUUACAACGCCGAAGGUGUUU
RNAcentral lists this ribosomal RNA (435 nucleotides) under Escherichia coli. RNAcentral describes it as "partial 23S ribosomal RNA". It matches the Rfam family "Bacterial large subunit ribosomal RNA", at positions 2514 to 2925 of the family's 2925-position model. Lineage: Bacteria; Pseudomonadati; Pseudomonadota; Gammaproteobacteria; Enterobacterales; Enterobacteriaceae. The record is from RNAcentral.